CGACUGCUAAUACCGAAUGUGCUUCACGGUGAAAGAUUAAUCGCCUGGAGAUGAGCUCGCGUCUGAUUAGCUAGUUGGUGGGGUAAAAGCGUACCAAGGCGACGAUCAGUAGCUGGUCUGAGAGGAUGAUCAGCCACACUGGGACUGAGACACGGCCCAGACUCCUACGGGAGGCAGCAGUGGGGAAUUUUCCGCAAUGGGCGAAAGCCUGACGGAGCAACGCCGCGUGAGGGAGGAAGGCUUUUGGGUUGUAAACCUCUUUUCUCAAGGAAGAUAAUGACGGUACUUGAGGAAUCAGCAUCGGCUAACUCCGUGCCAGCAGCCGCGGUAAUACGGAGGAUGCAAGCGUUAUCCGGAAUAAUUGGGCGUAAAGCGUUCGUAGGUGGUUUUGCAAGUCUGCUGUUAAAGCGUGUAGCUUAACUACAUAAUGGCGGUGGAAACUGCAAAACUAGAGUGCGUUCGGGGCAGAGGGAAUUCCUGGUGUAGCGGUGAAAUGCGUAGAUAUCAGGAAGAACACCGGUGGCGAAGGCGCUCUGCUAGGCCGCAACUGACACUGAGGGACGAAAGCUAGGGGAGCGAAUGGGAUUAGAU
This 591-nucleotide ribosomal RNA is filed under the name Rivularia sp. TP4S002. RNAcentral describes it as "bacterial SSU rRNA". It matches the Rfam family "Bacterial small subunit ribosomal RNA", at positions 157 to 783 of the family's 1533-position model. Lineage: Bacteria; Bacillati; Cyanobacteriota; Cyanophyceae; Nostocales; Rivulariaceae. The record is from RNAcentral.